Molecule: long non-coding RNA, 678 nt
Organism: Phyllopteryx taeniolatus (common seadragon)
Lineage: Eukaryota; Metazoa; Chordata; Actinopteri; Syngnathiformes; Syngnathidae
Exons: 4
Source: RefSeq, a predicted model, not a curated record
GGUCAAUCUAAGACUCCUCCUCCCCUGUGGAGACAGCCAAUCGCAUGGCCACAGGCAGGUGAUCCGUGAGGCCAGCCAACUGCGUUACAAAGUUGAACUCCUCUAGUUCCUGUAGAGGAAGGAAGAAGAAUUUCCUGAACCACAUGUGGGAUUGUGUCCAAUACAGAAUAUCUGUCGCUGAGAAUGCCAAAGACACCAUACGUUUUACUAGCCGAGAGUUGGAACCAUUCCUGCUGCAGGACCUCGUCACUGUACAGGAUGUAGUCAAUCCGACGUCCAUUGCCUUUCAGUGGAAUGUUCCUUCCUUUCUGGCUGCUGGAGGGACACUGGCUUUUGCUUGGAGGAAACACCAGGAUGAUGUGAUGAAGCUUGGCGGAACUCUGCCCCCCACUGGAGCAACAAGUCCAGCUGUUCACAUCGCACAGAGGCAUCACCUGGCAGAAAAUACAGGGAAAUGUCUGAUUUUGUCAUCAGUGUUAAAGUGAAACCAAACAGGAGGGGGGAAGAAAUGUCAACACAGAGAAGAGUCUUCUAACAAGCCGGACAAUGAAUGGAUGAAUAAAAAAAAAAUGGAAAAGUUUGUGAAAUCAGGCUUCAAAAUGGUCAAGAAUUGAGACAUUCUUUCAGCUUGCAGACGCUGUGGCCGUGUCGCUGAGAGCUCUGAAAAUCCCGCCUCUC